Long non-coding RNA from Triticum aestivum (bread wheat), 591 nucleotides. RefSeq lists it as uncharacterized. The record is from RefSeq and is a predicted model, not a curated record. Lineage: Eukaryota; Viridiplantae; Streptophyta; Magnoliopsida; Poales; Poaceae. The transcript is spliced from 3 exons.
UCCACCUCCAAGAAUAUAUGGCCAUUCUCCCCAUCUCUGGUCGUUGCCGCUGACAAGCCCAUUAAAAUCGUCCGGUUGUGCCUCCUUUUCAUCUCCUCGCCAUCUCUUGUUAAUCCUCGGCGAUCCAGAAGAUCUAGGAGGAGCAGAAAGAAAACGAAUCUGCCUGCACCUCGCCGACUACCGACCCCGGCGCAUACAUGUCGCAGUCUACUCCUCGCAGCCGUCCUUGAACCCAGCGUGCACACGCUGUGGCGUGCACAUCGCCGGCCGGUCACCUCGUCCUCGGCGCGCUCGAGCUGCAUCCUGUAUAGUCCACACUACCAGUUUCCACCAUGGACGCUAUUCCACUACAGGUUCAUUACAAUGCCAAUAGCGUAGAUGAAUUAGCAGGCAGGAGUGAUGGUCCACUAUAAUAUAUAGAAGCAUUAGGAGGGAUUGUAAUCAGCAAUAGAGACUGAUUCUCAUUCAAAGAAAGAUGGUGUCCAGAUUGAUAAAUAUUAUCUUUUCUAGUUGUCUCGUUUUCCAGAAAGAUAUGAGCAAGUACAUUGGUCAUAUAAGGAGUGUUUUUCACUCAAUUUUCUAAAUGAUAUU